Molecule: non-coding RNA, 2895 nt
Organism: Porphyromonas gingivicanis
Lineage: Bacteria; Pseudomonadati; Bacteroidota; Bacteroidia; Bacteroidales; Porphyromonadaceae
Source: Rfam
GCGAAAAAUAAGUAAGGGCAGACGGUGGAUGCCUAGGCUCUCGGAAGCGAAGAAGGACGUGAUAAGCUGCGAUAAGCUGCGGGUAUUGGCACAUACAAAUUGAUCCGCAGAUUUCCGAAUGGGGCAACCCGUUAGGUAGGAGACCUAACACUAUGUAAAUACAUAGGGCAUACGUGGGGAACUGAAACAUCUAAGUACCCAUAGGAGAAGAAAACAAAAGUGAUUCCCUUAGUAGUGGCGAGCGAACGGGGAUUAGCCCAAACCGUAGAUGUUUCGGCAUUUGCGGGGUAAUAGGAUCUUUCAACAAAGAUAUAUUUCGGUUUAGUAGAAGUAGUUGGAAAGCUACACCAUAGAGUGUGAUAGUCACGUAGACGAAAAGCUAAAUUAUAUCGAGAGAGACACCUGAGUAACCCGGGACACGUGUAAUCCUGGGCGAAUUAGCGGGGCCCAUCCCGUAAGGCUAAAUAUACCCGAGAGACCGAUAGUGGACAAGUACCGUGAGGGAAAGGUGAAAAGAACCUCGAACAGAGGAGUGCAAUAGAUCCUGAACCCGUCUGCUUACAAGCGGUAGGAGCACCUUUAAGGUGUGACUGCGUGCCUUUUGCAUAAUGAACCUACGAGUUACCUUUUCUGGCAAGGCUAAGUAACGAUAGUUAUGUACCCGUAGCGAAAGCGAGUCUGAAUAGGGCGUAUAGUCAGAGGAGGUAGACGCGAAACCAAGUGAUCUACCCUUGGCCAGGUUGAAGGUUAGGUAACACUAACUGGAGGACCGAACUGGUAAGCGUUGAAAAGCUUUCGGAUGAGCUGAGGGUAGGGGUGAAAGGCUAAUCAAACUUGGAGAUAGCUCGUACUCCCCGAAAUGCAUUUAGGUGCAGCCUUAGGAGUUUCUUGUAAGAGGUAGAGCGACUGAUUGGAUGCGAGGCUUUCACCGGCUAUCAAGUCCAGACAAACUCCGAAUGCUUACAAUUUAUAUCCUAGGAGUGAGGGCAUGGGUGCUAAGGUCCAUGUCCGAGAGGAGAAGAAUCCGGACCAUCGGCUAAGGUCCCUAAAUCACUGCUAAGUUGGACAAACGCGGUCAAGAUGCGAAGACAGCUAGGAUGUUGGCUUGGAAGCAGCCAUUCAUUUAAAGAGUGCGUAACAGCUCACUAGUCGAGGAUUUUGGCAUGGAUAAUAAUCGGGCAUAAGCAGUGUACCGAAGCUGUGGGAUGUUUAAUACAUCGGUAGGGGAGCAUUCUUAUUGGGGCAGAAGGUAUCAGGACGACUGAUGCUGGACCUAUAAGAAAAGCAAAUGUAGGUAUAAGUAACGAUAAAGGGGGUUAGAAACCCCCUCGCCGAAAGACCAAGGUUUCCUGAUCAACGCUAAACGGAUCAGGGUCAGUCGGGACCUAAGCAGUAGCCGAAUGGCGUAUGCGAUGGAUGAACUGGUUAAUAUUCCAGUACUAAUAAUAUGAGUGAUGUGGCGACGGAGAAGUGACAAUGCUGCCAACUGACGGAAUAGUUGGUUAAAGGGUGUAGGAGUUGAUUGGCGUAGGCAAAUCCGCGCUGAGAUCUGAACCUGAAAGUACGAAGCGUGCUUGCACAAUUCGAUAUGCAUGUAAUCAGGCUCCCAAGAAAAACCGCUAAACAUAUUGUAUUAUUACCCGUACCGUAAACCGACACAGGUGGUUGGGUUGAGUAUACUAAGGCGCUCGAGUGAUUCGCGGUUAAGGAACUAGGCAAAAUAGUCCUGUAACUUCGGGAUAAAGGACGCCUCUAUAGAGAUAUAGAGGCCGCAGUGAAAAGGCCCUGGCGACUGUUUAACAAAAACACAUGGCUAUGCAAAAUAGAAAUAUCACGUAUAUAGCCUGACACCUGCCCGGUGCUGGAAGGUUAAGAGGAGAGGUCAUCAGCAAUGAGAAGCUUUGAAUUGAAGCCCCAGUAAACGGCGGCCGUAACUAUAACGGUCCUAAGGUAGCGAAAUUCCUUGUCGGGCAAGUUCCGACCUGCACGAAUGGUGUAACGAUCUGGGCACUGUCUCAACCGCGAGCUCGGUGAAAUUGUAGUAUCGGUGAAGAUGCCGAUUACCCGCAACGGGACGAAAAGACCCCGUGAACCUUUACUAUAGCUUUACAUUGUAGCCGGGUAUUAGAUGUGUAGGAUAGGCCGGAGACUGAGAAUUGGUGACGCCAGUCAUCAAGGAGUCGCUGUUGAAAUACGGCCCUUUUACUAUUUGGCUACUAACGCGCUAAGUGCGGACAGUGUAUGGUGGGUAGUUUGACUGGGGUGGUCGCCUCCAAAAGCGUAACGGAGGCUUCUAAAGGUACCCUCAGGCCGAUUGGUAACCGGUCGUAGAGUGUAAUGGCAUAAGGGUGCUUGACUGGGAGACAAACAAGUCGCACAGGUAGGAAACUAGAGCAUAGUGAUCCGGUGGUUCCGUAUGGAAGGGCCAUCGCUCAAAGGAUAAAAGGUACUCCGGGGAUAACAGGCUGAUCGCUCCCAAGAGCUCAUAUCGACGGAGCGGUUUGGCACCUCGAUGUCGGCUCGUCACAUCCUGGGGCUGGAGAAGGUCCCAAGGGUUGGGCUGUUCGCCCAUUAAAGUGGCACGCGAGCUGGGUUCAGAACGUCGUGAGACAGUUCGGUCUCUAUCUGUUGUGGGCGCAGGAUAUUUGCGAGGCUCUGACACUAGUACGAGAGGACCGUGUUGGACUGACCUCUGGUCUAUCGGUUGUACCGCCCGGUGCACAGCCGAGUAGCUAUGUCGGGAUUGGAUAAGUGCUGAAAGCAUCUAAGCACGAAGCCAGCCUCAAGAUUAGAUAUCCAUAUAGGGAGGUUGUAGACGACGACCUAGAUAGGCUACAGGUGUAUAGGUGGUAACAUCACAGCUGAGUAGUACUAAUUUCCCAAAAUUUUUCGCGA